AUGCGAGUCAUUGUAGCAAUACAAGGCAGACGGCUCAGUAACGCGUAGUCAAUCUACCCUAUGGACGGGAAUAACCUCGGGAAACUGAGAAUAAUGCCCGAUAGAACAUUAUGCCUGGAAUGGUUUAUGUUUCAAAUGAUUUAUCGCCAUAGGAUGGGACUGCGGCCUAUCAGUUUGUUGGUGAGGUAAUGGCCCACCAAGACUAUUACAGGUACGGGCUCUGAGAGGAGUAGCCCGGAGAUGGGUACUGAGACACGGACCCAGGCCCUAUGGGGCGCAGCAGGCGAGAAAACUUUGCAAUGUGCGAAAGCACGACAAGGUUAAUCCGAGUGGUUUCUGCUAAAGAAACCUUUUGUCAGUCCUAGAAACACUAACGAAUAAGGGGUGGGCAAGUUCUGGUGUCAGCCGCCGCGGUAAAACCAGCACCUCAAGUGGUCAGGAUGAUUAUUGGGCCUAAAGCAUCCGUAGCUCGUUUUGUAAGUUUUCGGUUAAAUCCAUGCGCUUAACGUAUGGGCUGCCGGGAAUACUGCAUAACUAGGAAGUGGGAGAGGUAGACGGUACUCGGGAGGAAGGGGUAAAAUCCUUUGAUCUCUUGAUGACCACCUGUGGCGAAGGCGGUCUACCAGAACACGUUCGACGGUGAGGGAUGAAAGCUGGGGGAGCAAACCGGAUUAGAUACCCGGGUAGUCCCAGCUGUAAACUAUGCAAACUCAGUGAUGCAUUGGCUUAUGGCCAAUGCAGUGCUGCAGGGAAGCCGUUAAGUUUGCCGCCUGGGAAGUACGUACGCAAGUAUGAAACUUAAAGGAAUUGGCGGGGGAGCACCACAAGGGGUGAAGCCUGCGGUUCAAUUGGAGUCAACGCCG
This 863-nucleotide ribosomal RNA is filed under the name uncultured archaeon. Its description in RNAcentral is "bacterial SSU rRNA". It matches the Rfam family "Archaeal small subunit ribosomal RNA", at positions 51 to 920 of the family's 1478-position model. The record is from RNAcentral.